CUAGAACGCAAUCGGAAUCAGGCGAAAGGUCUGCGCAGCGAAUGGCCGCUUGCGAGGUGCUGCAUGGUUGUCGUCAGGCUCGUGCCGUGAGGUGUCGGGUUAAGUCCCAUAACGAGCGCAACCCCUACUGCUAGUUGCCAGCGGGUCAUGCCGGGGACUCUAGCGGAACUGCCAGCGUAAGCUGCGAGGAAGGUGGGGAUGACGUCAAAUCAGCACGGCCCUUACGUCCAGGGCUACACACGUGUUACAAUGGCCAGUACAGAGGGCAGCCACCCGCGAGGGGGCGCUAAUCCUAAAAGCUGGUCCCAGUUCGGAUCGGAGUCUGCAACCCGACUCCGUGAAGCUGGAUUCGCUAGUAAUCGCGCAUCAGCCACGGCGCGGUGAAUACGUUCCCGGGCCUU
RNAcentral lists this ribosomal RNA (401 nucleotides) under uncultured Rikenellaceae bacterium. RNAcentral describes it as "bacterial SSU rRNA". It matches the Rfam family "Bacterial small subunit ribosomal RNA", at positions 980 to 1382 of the family's 1533-position model. Lineage: Bacteria; Pseudomonadati; Bacteroidota; Bacteroidia; Bacteroidales; Rikenellaceae. The record is from RNAcentral.